ACGCUCGACACCUACGGGGGGCAGCAGUGGGGAAUAUUGCACAAUGGGGGAAACCCGUGAUGCAGCGACGCCGCGUGAAGGAAGAAGUAUCUCGGUAUGUAAACUUCUAUCAGCAGGGAAGAAAGUGACGGUACCUGACUAAGAAGCCCCGGCUAACUACGUGUCAGCAGCCGCGGUAAUCUGAGCGGGCUGGCAAGGC
RNAcentral lists this ribosomal RNA (199 nucleotides) under uncultured bacterium. RNAcentral's name for it is "partial 16S ribosomal RNA". It matches the Rfam family "Bacterial small subunit ribosomal RNA", at positions 328 to 539 of the family's 1533-position model. The record is from RNAcentral.